This 1014-nucleotide long non-coding RNA is filed under the name Anser brachyrhynchus (Pink-footed goose). RNAcentral's name for it is "lncRNA (ENSABRG00000020501.1)". Lineage: Eukaryota; Metazoa; Chordata; Aves; Anseriformes; Anatidae. The record is from RNAcentral.
AUGACGAAUGAGCUGGAGAAGGGGGGGGGAGCGGGGAGAGCAGGUGGCGAUCGACCCGGAGGGAGCUGCCGGAGAAGCGGGAGCUGCGGGGAAUUAAACGGGAGGAGCCUCGAGCUGGGAACCUUCCCCGCCGUGUGCCCGGAAGGAUUUCCUUUGGGAUUUCGUUACCGUUCAAGUAAUGUCACCCCCCCCGCGACCAGAGCGAGUCCCUGGGGGCUGGGGCAUUGCCCGAAUGCUUGGGGCGAGGUGGGUUUUGCCCUCAAGUCCCGUCCUCGAGGAGCGGGACGGAGCUGUAGCGUGCACGGCCCUGCUCCUAAUUAUUCUGCGUCUGUUGUUUCUGGGAGCAGCAUCUUAGAUAAUGACAAUACUAAAAAGCAAAGCCUCUCUUUGUGCAGUCAUUUCUGUGAAGCCCUGGACUUGAGCUGCUCUCGUCGGAGAUUUUGGUGGCACUGGUGGCACCACACCGGCCGCGUCUGCUGCAGCGCGUCUCCUGGGCUCCGGCUCUUCCCAGAGGAACGACGCUCACGUGCUCGGUUUUGUUCGCCCUUCCAAAAGGCUCUUGCUGCAGGGAGGCUUCCCCUGCCUUUUGUCACCGCUCCUCCGUGCUCCGCUGCCCUCGUCUUGAGUCGCUUUGCCGUGCGUUUUCACUUCUUUCCCCCCAAAGCAGCAGCGAAUUGGCAGAAGCGGGCGCCGGCUGGAGAGGUCGGUGCCGCCCAGGACUCCCAGGGAGCGGGAAUUUCUCGGAGCUUUGUCGUUUAUUCCGCCGUGAUUUUGGACGGAGCAGUUUUUCUUGAUGUUUUAGGGCUGGAUUUCGGGUUCUUUCCCCAGCCUGGCACUCGGGUUUGGUGGGUUUUGGUGCAAAUUCUGCCCGAAGGCAACUGGGAGUUGCUGCAGGCAGCUUCAGGGGCCUUCGUUUGGGGGUUGCCAGCUUUUGGCCCCGGUUUAUCUGCACGUAGGAAAAAGAUUCUUUGCAAAAACGUUGUGCUUGGCCCGUACUGCAGAAUCAGGAGGUAG